AUUAGCUUGUUGGUAGGGUAACGGCCUACCAAGGCGACGAUCUAUAGCCGAGCUGAGAGGCUGACCGGCCACAUUGGAACUGAGACACGGUCCAGACUCCUACGGGAGGCAGCAGCUAAGAAUCUUCCGCAAUGGUCGAGAGACUGACGGAGCGACGCCGCGUGGAUGAUGAAGGCCUUACAGGUUGUAAAAUCCUUUUAGAUUGGACGAAUGUAUAAUGUAGGUUAUGCUGACGGUACUUUCUGAAUAAGGUCCGGCUAACUACGUGCCAGCAGCCGCGGUAAUACGUAGGGACCUAGCGUUGUUCGGAAUUAUUGGGCGUAAAGGGUACGUAGGCGGUCAAGUAAGUCAGCUGUGAAAACCCCGGGCUCAACCUGGGGCUUGCGGUUGAUACUGCUUGGCUAGAGUCACGGAGAGGAAAUUGGAAUUCCUGGUGUAGGAGUGAAAUCUAUAGAUAUCAGGAAGAACACCUGUAGCGAAGGCUGAUUUCUGGACGUGCACUGACGCUGUGGUACGAAAGUUAGGGUAGCAAACAGGAUUAGAGACCCUGGUAGUCCUAACCGUAAACGUUGUAUACUAGGUGGUGGGAGUAUUGAUCCUUUCACUGCCGCAGCUAAUGCACUAAGUAUACCGCCUGGGGAGUAUGCCGGCAACGGUGAAACUCAAAGGAAUUGACGGGGGCCCGCACAAGCAGUGGAGCAUGUUGUUCAAUUCGAUGAUACGCGAGGAACCUUACCAGGUCUUGACAUAUACCUGACGCACAUAGAAAUAUGUGUUUCCUUCGGGACAGGUAUACAGGUGCUGCAUGGUUGUCGUCAGCUCGUGCCGUGAGGUGUUGGGUUAAGUCCCGUAACGAGCGCAACCCCUAUUCUUUGUUGCUAACGGAUUAAGCUGAGCACUCGGAGGAAACUGCCGGUGACAAACCGGAGGAAGGUGGGGAUGACGUCAAAUCAUCACGGCCCUUAUGACCUGGGCUACAAACGUGCUACAAUGGACGGUACAAAGAGUUGCGAGACCGCGAGGUGGAGCUAAUCUCAAAAAAGCGUCCUCAGUUCGGAUUGGAGUCUGA
This 1069-nucleotide ribosomal RNA is filed under the name uncultured organism. RNAcentral describes it as "bacterial SSU rRNA". It matches the Rfam family "Bacterial small subunit ribosomal RNA", at positions 240 to 1308 of the family's 1533-position model. The record is from RNAcentral.